GCAGUAUAUGUAGUGGUGGGUUUGCAAGGCUAAUAAUCAUGGCAAGGAAAACUCACACUAUCUCAAGAUUGGUCAAAUUCCCUAUGCUCGGGGAGAGCGGGCCAGACAGGUUCUGGCUCGGAGCUUCUCUGCCAAAUUGACACAGCCAGGUGACCAUGGUCCAGCUGCAAGGAUCCACGGAGUCUUGGUCCCAGUUCUUGAGUACGCCAUGGGGAUCCUUGAGGCAGUUCUUGAUCAUCAUGAGGGCUUGCACUGCAAGUGCAAGCAGAACAGAGAUUGUCACACACCAAUGCAAGAGGAACAAACAGAGGAGGCCCAAUAGCUUGGUGUUCUUGAUCCGGGAGAAGGAUACGGACAAAGCAUCGAGCACCAAUGCAAGAACAGGAAACAAAAACCAAGAGGGGCUCUUGAUUUGAGAGAGGAAUAUUAACUUAACUAACCUUCAUAGUUUACACCCUUGGGGGAGAGGAGACCGUUGGCCGGCGCGGGAGGGAAGGAGAAGAAGAGAAGCAGCACCAAGGAGGAAGCAGCGAGAACCGCCAUUAAUCCACCGGGGAAGAAGCAGGGGCUCUAGGACUAGGAGCUUCUUGUGUGUUCAAACAUUGAAGCAAGCAAGGGUGAGGCCAAGGAAAAGAAGCACGCAGCCUUCUCUUCUCGCACACACAAGCAGCCGAGUGGCACUCCAGUUGCAGUGGGCAGGGGAGGGGAGGGGAGGCCCGCUGAGGUUUUGUCAGUAGCAAAUGACACAAAAGAAGAUGCCUGUGCUCUGGUUUGAAGCAAAGGUACAAAAGGAGGGAACAGACAUGCCUGCCGCCUGGCCCCACGCUCGGAGUAGUAGAAUAUUGGGAGGGGCAAAGGAGGGGCCGAAAAUUCUUCUUUCCCACCAAUUUUCUGCCCCUCCUUGGGGCCUGUGAAAAAAACUCAGGCAGUGGAAAACAGUGACAGCGUGCUGUGAACUUGUUGAGAGGUCUAUCUAGCUAGACUAAUCUCGUGUUAAAAGAUCAGAUUAGCAUUGAUCCCAUCCAAGAAAGACAUGCGCUUUAUCGGAGUGUGGUGUGUGUGGCUGUCACAGGCCACCACGGCAGGCACCUUUGAGGGAUUCUUGCCACGAAAGAAUUCCCCGAGCUGGACAAUUAGCUUGGGACGCGUGUGUGUGGCAAUUCUAUUGGGGGGCGAUAAACAAUGGAUCGAAAGUAUCUUUAGUUGGAGGAAGCCAGGAUAAUGACAGGGAGGAAGCGCCUCUCGCCUGACCUGAAGUGGAGGCAAAUGGACAAGGGAAUUUUGGCCAUCACGCAUUGUGGAUGAAGAAUCAGGUAUCGGAUUAGAGAGCACAUAUAAUCCCAGUAGUGACGAGAAAGAUGAGCACAACACGCCCUGCCGCGGUUGGUCGUGUCGCCACAUCAGUUUGUACCAGUUCGGUUGGCAUCAUACUCCUAGACUAGAUAAAACUACAUACGUACUCCCUCCGGUCUCUUUUAAUUGACUCGGAUUUAGUACAACUCUAUACUAAAUUUGAGUCAAUUAAAAAGGACCGGAGGGAGUACACUCAAGUGGAGGCAUCCCUGCUUUUCAUUCUGAUGGAUUGUCAGGUAUCAAUUUACCCUCAAGGCGGAAUAUGAAAAUCCAUCCCCCAUACUUGGCCAUGUCAUGUCAUGGUACUUGCGGUUCAGGGGCAGGAUAUGCAUAUGCAGAAGAGUGGUGUGUAAUGAGACGGGAGAGGGCGAGACGGCCAUGCUCCUCCCCCUCUUUUAGGGCCAGAAAUCAUUGCAGUCUACCUAGCAUGGAAGACGUGACCUCUCUUUCCCAGUGAAAUGAGAUCAGGUAUCAUACGAACAUGGCAAAAACGUACACGGGACCAUCAAAAGACGAUCUCUGGGUUUAUCCUUGCGGACAUGGACACUCGGAUGGUGUUCUCCAGAAAAUGGCAGCAUAAUUAUUGAGUAACCUCAGUUAAACUCGAUGCACUAGCACAACUUAUUAUGCAUGUCUGGUAAAGCUCAAAGCGUGGGGCGUAAAUCAUAAUUGUUUGCUGCUGCUUCACUUGCCCAAAUCUGAAUUUCCUUCCUCCUCUGCUCUGCAUGAUUAGCUUCGCGCUUUAUAGAGAUGAGCCUUUGGUAUAUGUUAGUACAUUUUCCAAACCACGCUUCAUCUCUGUAGCCAUCAUCUGAAUGAUGACACUUAGUGGCUAUGGAGAUGAUGAUUAACACGAGCCCAGUCUUUAGGGUAUGCAUAAACAAACAAAAAGUAGCAGAAUACGGAUACAUGCUGUAUACACAAAUAUAUACUGUCCAUAUAUGUGUGAACAUGCAUCUGCAGUAGCAGUACUGCUCCCACAGUACGCGCGCACUGCAGUGCAGAACAGUAGAAUAUCUUUGCACCCACACAUCACAACUGCCUCUACUGCCAUCGCUAAUGUCAUCGUCUUGUGUACUGUUUUGACUGGGCGACCAAGAAGCCAUGCUGAAUCUUCUGCUUGUGAUCCUCGAUCAGCUUGCCUUUGACCAGCUGAGGACAAAUUACACAGUGAACACGUCAUAGUUAACUGUCAACUUCGGCGUGCUAUAUUUGGAGCUACUUUGAUAUUGGCAAGGUAAGGAUGACUCAUCACAAAGAUUUAAAGAAGGCGAGCUGAUGUGCUAUAUAUCUAUCUGAUUUCGUAUUGCUAUAGUUACUAAUCAACUAUCAACAACUGAAGCUCGACCUCACAUUAUGCCAAACAGUGGCGCACUUCACUACGCCAUUUUCUUUUCAGCCUAAAAGUACAUACUGCUAAUUGCCCAAGUCUUUAUGCUGGUGUCUUGUUUGGUAGUAGUACUACUAAUGAACAAGAUGAAAGCAUGGUUAUCCCAAGAGAAUCUGUACAUCACACAAGUUUGUCCAUGCAUUAGAUUCCUAAAUCCACUCCCAUGUUUGGCCGGAACAGGGAUGGGUAGCAGUUGGAAACUCGAGAACUGUGCCCAUUUUUUUCUCUGCACUACUGCUUCCACAUGCUUGGCACUAGCUCUCGCGCCUUUGCUUUUUCAUCUUCUCAUGUAACCUGCCCAACUUAUUCCCCAAUAGCAUAUACAUAUACUUUCUUGUUCAGGAAAGGUUUUGAGGUUACUUUAGAUUCGGAAAAUUGGCUAUGUAAACAAACAUUGCCAUCCUAUGUACGGGCCUCUUGUUUUGCC
This is a long non-coding RNA of Lolium perenne, 3170 nucleotides long. RefSeq lists it as uncharacterized. The record is from RefSeq and is a predicted model, not a curated record. Lineage: Eukaryota; Viridiplantae; Streptophyta; Magnoliopsida; Poales; Poaceae.